UCCUGAAUAACACAAUGCAUAUAAUUAGUUAAGUCAUAAUUAGUUCAUACAAACUACAUCAUCAAAGGUGGAAUCUACAUCACCACUACAUGUACAAAAUCACCAGAUACACAGCCCCCCAUCAAAAACCAAAAAGAAGACAUCGACUGGCCCCCAAGCUGACUCAGAAGAUUCUAGGAAUGUUGGACCCCUCACUCGGG
This 200-nucleotide long non-coding RNA is filed under the name Lupinus angustifolius (narrow-leaved blue lupine). RNAcentral describes it as "long non-coding RNA (LANG_LNC003359)". Lineage: Eukaryota; Viridiplantae; Streptophyta; Magnoliopsida; Fabales; Fabaceae. The record is from RNAcentral.